UCUCCUGGGAGGAAGCUCAGCUGGAGUGAUGGAUGGGGUGGAUGGCUGCAGUACAGCAUGAAAGGGGUAUGGGCUGAAUGGAACAGCGGACCUGUGUGUGUGUGUGUGUGUGUGUGUGUGUGUGUGUGUGGUGAAGAUGAGUGUAUGUCUAUACUCAUGUCCCUCCCUGUGCCUAUACCUUGAUUCUACUUGAUCAGGUAGGUCCUGUGUCCUCCACCCCCAGCCCACAGGACCAUCCUAAAAUGAAAAGCCAAAUUUCAGUGACUCCUCUUCUUGUCCUA
RNAcentral lists this small nucleolar RNA (281 nucleotides) under Neotoma lepida (desert woodrat). Its description in RNAcentral is "Small Cajal body-specific RNA 2". It matches the Rfam family "Small Cajal body-specific RNA 2". Lineage: Eukaryota; Metazoa; Chordata; Mammalia; Rodentia; Cricetidae. The record is from Rfam by way of RNAcentral.